RNAcentral lists this long non-coding RNA (210 nucleotides) under Elaeis guineensis (African oil palm). RNAcentral describes it as "long non-coding RNA (EGUI_LNC034538)". Lineage: Eukaryota; Viridiplantae; Streptophyta; Magnoliopsida; Arecales; Arecaceae. The record is from RNAcentral.
UAUUUGUGGGAGUCCUAACUUGGAUCAAAAUAUCUCCUAUUUAUCGGUGCCAUGCUGAACAAAAUUUUAGAGGUUUCGACCAUAGCCAAGAUAUCUCCAAAAGAUUUGUCCUCCAAUCUAGUCGUCGGGGUUCAAUUUAAUGUCUGAAUAUCCCAUAAUCCUUAUUAUCGUCAUCUUGCCGAACAUAAGUUCAGAGGUCUUGGCUGGAGU